RNAcentral lists this ribosomal RNA (192 nucleotides) under uncultured rumen bacterium. Its description in RNAcentral is "partial 16S ribosomal RNA". It matches the Rfam family "Bacterial small subunit ribosomal RNA", at positions 340 to 524 of the family's 1533-position model. The record is from RNAcentral.
UACGGGAGGCAGCAGCUAAGAAUAUUCCGCAAUGGGCGAAAGCCUGACGGAGCGACGCCGCGUGGACGAUGGAGGCCGGAAGGUUGUAAAGUCCUUUUGGGAGGGAAGAAGAAGCCCGGGAGGAAACGCCCGGGCGGCGACGGUACCUCGCGAAUAAGGGGCGGCUAAUUACGUGCCAGCAGCCGCGGUAAU